This is a non-coding RNA of Paramuricea clavata, 234 nucleotides long. NCBI's taxonomy places the organism in Eukaryota, Metazoa, Cnidaria, Anthozoa, Malacalcyonacea, Plexauridae. The record is from the annotation of a GenBank genome assembly.
GCGGACUAUUCGUACUAUUCAUCGACUAUUCGCGGAUUAUUCGUCGACUAUUCGCGGACUAUUCGUACUAUUCGUCGACUAUUCGCGGACUAUUCGUACUAUUCGUCGACUAUUCGCACUAUUCGCUUCACUAUUCUAGUUUUAUCAAUUGCCAAUAACCGUUUGAUGUUUCUGGAUUUGUAACUCUUUCAAUAAAACCUCGUUUUAACUGUUCGUUAAUAAGUUCACUGUAGG